Molecule: ribosomal RNA, 1371 nt
Filed under: uncultured bacterium
Lineage: Bacteria
Description: bacterial SSU rRNA
Rfam family: Bacterial small subunit ribosomal RNA
Source: RNAcentral
GAUGAACGCUGGCGGCGUGCCUAAUACAUGCAAGUCGAGCGAACGGACGAGAAGCUUGCUUCUCUGAUGUUAGCGGCGGACGGGUGAGUAACACGUGGAUAACCUACCUAUAAGACUGGGAUAACUUCGGGAAACCGGAGCUAAUACCGGAUGAUAUUUUGAACCGCAUGGUUCAAAAGUGAAAGACGGUCUUGCUGUCACUUAUAGAUGGAUCCGCGCUGCAUUAGCUAGUUGGUAAGGUAACGGCUUACCAAGGCAACGAUGCAUAGCCGACCUGAGAGGGUGAUCGGCCACACUGGAACUGAGACACGGUCCAGACUCCUACGGGAGGCAGCAGUAGGGAAUCUUCCGCAAUGGGCGAAAGCCUGACGGAGCAACGCCGCGUGAGUGAUGAAGGUCUUCGGAUCGUAAAACUCUGUUAUUAGGGAAGAACAUAUGUGUAAGUAACUGUGCACAUCUUGACGGUACCUAAUCAGAAAGCCACGGCUAACUACGUGCCAGCAGCCGCGGUAAUACGUANGUGGGCAGCGUUAUCCGGAAAUAUUGGGCGUAAAGCGCGCGUAGGCGGUUUUUUAGUCUGAUGUGAAAGCCCACGGCUCAACCGUGGAGGGUCAUUGGAAACUGGAAAACUUGAGUGCAGAAGAGGAAAGUGGAAUUCCAUGUGUAGCGGUGAAAUGCGCAGAGAUAUGGAGGAACACCAGUGGCGAAGGCGACUUUCUGGUCUGUAACUGACGCUGAUGUGCGAAAGCGUGGGGAUCAAACAGGAUUAGAUACCCUGGUAGUCCACGCCGUAAACGAUGAGUGCUAAGUGUUAGGGGGUUUCCGCCCCUUAGUGCUGCAGCUAACGCAUUAAGCACUCCGCCUGGGGAGUACGACCGCAAGGUUGAAACUCAAAGGAAUUGACGGGGACCCGCACAAGCGGUGGAGCAUGUGGUUUAAUUCGAAGCAACGCGAAGAACCUUACCAAAUCUUGACAUCCUUUGACAACUCUAGAGAUAGAGCCUUCCCCUUCGGGGGACAAAGUGACAGGUGGUGCAUGGUUGUCGUCAGCUCGUGUCGUGAGAUGUUGGGUUAAGUCCCGCAACGAGCGCAACCCUUAAGCUUAGUUGCCAUCAUUAAGUUGGGCACUCUAAGUUGACUGCCGGUGACAAACCGGAGGAAGGUGGGGAUGACGUCAAAUCAUCAUGCCCCUUAUGAUUUGGGCUACACACGUGCUACAAUGGACAAUACAAAGGGCAGCGAAACCGCGAGGUCAAGCAAAUCCCAUAAAGUUGUUCUCAGUUCGGAUUGUAGUCUGCAACUCGACUACAUGAAGCUGGAAUCGCUAGUAAUCGUAGAUCAGCAUGCUACGGUGAAUACGUUCCCGGGUCU